Molecule: ribosomal RNA, 458 nt
Filed under: uncultured bacterium
Lineage: Bacteria
Description: partial 16S ribosomal RNA
Rfam family: Bacterial small subunit ribosomal RNA
Source: RNAcentral
CCUACGGGUGGCAGCAGUGGGGAAUAUUGCACAAUGGGGGAAACCCUGAUGCAGCGACGCCGCGUGAGUGAAGAAGUAAUUCGUUACGUAAAGCUCUAUCAGCAGGGAAGAAACACUGACCUUACGGUCAGCAGACGGUACCUGAGGAAGAAGCCCAGGCUAACUACGUGCCAGCAGCCGCGGUAAUACGUAGGGGGCAAGCGUUAUCCGGAUUUACUGGGUGUAAAGGGGGCGUAGACGGUGCGCCAAGUCUGGAGUGAAAUGCCGCAGCUUAACUGCGGAACUGCUUUGGAAACUGGCGAACUAGAGUGCGGGAGGGGUAAGCGGAAUUCGUAGUGUAGCGGUGAAAUGCGUAGAUAUUAGGAGGAACACCGGUGGCGAAGGCGGCUUACUGGACCGUAACUGACGUUGAGGCUCGAAAGCGUGGGGAGCAAACAGGAUUAGAUACCCCGGUAGUC